CUUUGUCAAGUAUUGUCUUUGUAACAUAUUGUUGGUGAGUUUAUGUUCAUGUUUUGUUUAUUUAGUCAAGUCAAGUCAUUGUUUUGUUUACUUUGGAUUAUGUUAUUUAAAUAAACUGCAUGGGUUGUCAACUACAACUCACCUCAGUGGACUGUUGUUACAGAAUACUUGACCGAUCACCAUGAACUCAGCAGUCACUCUACUUCACCUCCGUCAAGCUUUGAAAGACAUUUUUCACUAUGGACUUAAUGAACCCGUUCGAUCACAAAUGCCAGGGGGGAAAAUCCAUUUUUCCCUGGCCCAGUACAUAGACCACGGAUGAUGAGUGCCGCAAUCCUACAGUACCCGCAACGCCAGAGUGUUUCCACACCAUGACUGCCACACCAAGGCCUGUUCACGUCAUGCCUGUUCAUGUCAUGCCUACCCACAUCAUGCCUGCCACCCCAGGGCCUGUUCAUGUCAUGCCUGCCAAGCCUGAGUUUCUUCACGUCAUGCCUGCUAAACCUGAGCCUGUUCACGUCAUGUCUGCCUUGCAAGAGACUGUUCACAUCAUGCCUGCCCUGCCAGAGACUGUUCACAUCAUGCCAGCUAGAUCGUUGCUGGAUAUCGCCCGUGCUGCUUCCUGUUAUCCUGUGUGUUCCUCUGUCUGAGUCAUCGUGUCGUGCUGUUCCGGUUCCAGUCCCGUUUGGAUUACUCACCUGGUGUUUUCCCUUCACUCUGGAUACUCUACACACGGUCUUCACUCUUCUGUUCAGGACUGCCCAUCGAAGUCCCUGUGUCACCACUCUCCCGCUGGCUGCAACGUGUUGGACUCUGUGGUUUUCUCAAUAAAGAGAUUUUACUUGCAA
Ctenopharyngodon idella (grass carp) is the source of this 848-nucleotide long non-coding RNA. RefSeq lists it as uncharacterized. The transcript is spliced from 3 exons. Lineage: Eukaryota; Metazoa; Chordata; Actinopteri; Cypriniformes; Xenocyprididae. The record is from RefSeq and is a predicted model, not a curated record.